ACUAAGCGGAGGAAAAGAAACUAACAAGGAUUUCCUUAGUAACGGCGAGCGAACCGGAAGAGCCCAGCUUGAA
This 73-nucleotide ribosomal RNA is filed under the name Porella platyphylloidea. RNAcentral's name for it is "partial 26S ribosomal RNA". It matches the Rfam family "Eukaryotic large subunit ribosomal RNA", at positions 45 to 118 of the family's 3401-position model. Lineage: Eukaryota; Viridiplantae; Streptophyta; Jungermanniopsida; Porellales; Porellaceae. The record is from RNAcentral.